UUUAAGCCCAUCCAUAAGUUUACGUAUGCAAUAUUGAUGUCCAUCUUAUUUAAAAAAAUAGAUUAGUAUUUCUGUUGUUAUUAUAUAAUAAAACAUAAAUAUUACCUUACGUGUGAUUUAUGUUUUUAAUUUUUUUUAAAUGGAUGAUCAAAGUUGGACAUAAAAACUUAUGGUUGCGCUUAAA
RNAcentral lists this microRNA precursor (184 nucleotides) under Oryza nivara. RNAcentral describes it as "MIR812 microRNA precursor family". It matches the Rfam family "MIR812 microRNA precursor family". The record is from Rfam by way of RNAcentral. Lineage: Eukaryota; Viridiplantae; Streptophyta; Magnoliopsida; Poales; Poaceae.